This 113-nucleotide small RNA is filed under the name Actibacterium mucosum. Its description in RNAcentral is "Guanidine-I sequence". It matches the Rfam family "Guanidine-I riboswitch aptamer". Rfam says of the family: This family represents a conserved RNA structure found upstream of the ykkC and yxkD genes in Bacillus subtilis and related genes in other bacteria. The function of this family is unclear although it has been suggested that it may function to switch on efflux pumps and detoxification systems in response to harmful environmental molecules. Lineage: Bacteria; Pseudomonadati; Pseudomonadota; Alphaproteobacteria; Rhodobacterales; Roseobacteraceae. The record is from RNAcentral. RNAcentral also lists the same sequence under 1 other name.
AUGCAGGGUGCCUAGGGUUCCGCCGGUUCAUUUCAAACCGGGACUGGUCCGAGAGGUGCCGCCGAUCCGGCAAAUUCCGGACCGGUACACGGCGGGAAAAAAUCCCGGGAGAA